GUGCACCAGUCGCGAAUUUUUCUCAAUGGGGGAAACCCUGAAGGAGCGACGCCGCGUGGAGGAUGAAGGUCUUCGGAUUGUAAACUCCUGUCAUUUGGGAACAAGUUGCAUCGAUUAACUGUCGAUGCAUUGAUAGUACCAGAAGAGGAAGAGACGGCUAACUCUGUGCCAGCAGCCGCGGUAAUACAGAGGUCUCAAGCGUUGUUCGGAUUCAUUGGGCGUAAAGGGUGCGUAGGUGGCGGGGUAAGUCAGGUGUGAAAUCUCGAGGCUCAACCUCGAAACUGCACUUGAUACUGCCUUGCUAGAGUACUGGAGAGGAGAUUGGAAUUUUACGGUGUAGCAGUGAAAUGCGUAGAUAUCGUAAGGAGACCAGUGGCGAAGGCGAAUCUCUGGACAGUUACUGACACUGAGGCACGAAGGCC
RNAcentral lists this ribosomal RNA (422 nucleotides) under uncultured organism. Its description in RNAcentral is "bacterial SSU rRNA". It matches the Rfam family "Bacterial small subunit ribosomal RNA", at positions 346 to 761 of the family's 1533-position model. The record is from RNAcentral.